This 73-nucleotide transfer RNA is filed under the name Rhipicephalus microplus (southern cattle tick). RNAcentral describes it as "tRNA-Arg". It matches the Rfam family "tRNA". Rfam says of the family: Transfer RNA (tRNA) molecules are approximately 80 nucleotides in length. Their secondary structure includes four short double-helical elements and three loops (D, anti-codon, and T loops). Lineage: Eukaryota; Metazoa; Arthropoda; Arachnida; Ixodida; Ixodidae. The record is from RNAcentral.
GCCUCUCGUGGCCUAACGGAUAAGGCAUCGGUCUUCUAAACCGGGAUUGCGGGUUCGAGUCCCGCCGAGGGUG